Molecule: ribosomal RNA, 789 nt
Filed under: uncultured fungus
Lineage: Eukaryota; Fungi
Description: eukaryotic LSU rRNA
Rfam family: Eukaryotic large subunit ribosomal RNA
Source: RNAcentral
CCCGCUGAACUUAAGCAUAUCAAUAAGCGGAGGAAAAGAAACUAACAAGGAUUCCCCUAGUAACUGCGAGUGAAGCGGGAAGAGCUCAAAUUUGAAAUCUGGCGGUCCCUUGGGCUGUCCGAGUUGUAAUCUAGAGAAGUGCUACCUGUGCUGGACCGUGUACAAGUCUCCUGGAAUGGAGCAUCACAGAGGGUGAGAAUCCCGUCUUUGACACGGACUGCCAUGUGCGAUAUGGUGCGCUCUCGAAGAGUCGAGUUGUUUGGGAAUGCAGCUCAAAACGGGUGGUAAAUGCCAUCUAAAGCUAAAUAUUGGCGAGAGACCGAUAGCGAACAAGUACCGUGAGGGAAAGAUGAAAAGAACUUUGGAAAGAGAGUUAAACAGUACGUGAAAUUGCUGAAAGGGAAACGUUUGACACCAGUUAUGCGGGUGGAAAAUCAGUCUUUUGCAAUGGGGAGUUGUGGGCGUUCAGACCGCAAGGCUGGCGUUUGCUUCAUCUUUGUUGUAAGUGAUGCACUUUUUCAUUUGCAGGUCAACAUCAGUUUGCUUUGCUGGACAAAACCCCAAGGGAAGGUGGCAGCUUAGGCUGUGUUAUAGCCCUGGGGCGAUACAGUGGAGUGGACUGAGGUUUCGCAGUGUGUGCUCUCGGGCAAGGCUGACUGGGUGCUAUGGGAUCGUUCGGCGUACAAUGCAUGCAUUUUGCGUCGUGUCUUUUUCAUACUCGCUCAACUCGGCUCUUCCACACUUAGGAUGCUGACUUAAUGGUUUUAAACGACCCGUCUUGAAACACGG